This 265-nucleotide ribosomal RNA is filed under the name uncultured bacterium. Its description in RNAcentral is "partial 16S ribosomal RNA". It matches the Rfam family "Bacterial small subunit ribosomal RNA", at positions 88 to 354 of the family's 1533-position model. The record is from RNAcentral.
CCGGCGACCGGCGGACGGGUGCGUAACGCGUAUGUAACCUACCUUUGACAGGGGGAUAACAUCGAGAAAUUGGUACUAAUACCCCAUAACAUCACCGGAGGCAUCUUCGGUGGUUGAAAACUCAGGUGGUCAGAGAUGGACAUGCGUUGUAUUAGCUAGUUGGUGAGGUAACGGCUCACCAAGGCGACGAUACAUAGGGGGACUGAGAGGUCAACCCCCCACAUUGGUACUGAGACACGGACCAAACUCCUACGGAAGGCAGCAG